AGGACUCAACGAUUUAGUGAUUGGGUGGAAGAUAUAUGGGCGGGGUAAGAAGAUGAGAGCGUUAUUAUCUUCUAGACAAGGCAGUAUUCGCAUGUGCAAUACCCAGUAAACUGCCAUGAUUCUUUUAAGGCCCGGAAUCUCCUUUUCUUCCUAACCUCCUAAAUGGAGAUGGUGUCCUCCUUUCCCAGACAUCCCCCCCCCCCCAUAUCAGCAUUGGUCUGCCUGCAAUCUCUCUCUUGAACUCACUGCUCUAAUCUCUAACAUCAGGUUUGUUCUCAACUAAUCAAUAAUAUUUCCCAUGACAUGGUGGGGUUUUUCACAGUUCAUUUAUAUUCCUAGAUGGACUGACCUAAUUUUCCUUUCCCCCAAACUAUGGGAAAGUUAAAGACAAAGUUCUCCAAGAAAGGGCUAGUUAUAUUUCACGUGCUCCAAGGAAGUUCACAGAAGACAUUAUGUUUGAAUGCCAGCCCCCUCCCAACAGAGACUUGGGUUCCUGUUACUAUACCUUUAAGAGAGAGGGAUAGAAUUUGGGGGAAUGAUAGUUAACUGUCUUCCAGAAAGUCUGUGAAAGAAGAUGGCAGAUUAGAGGGAGCAACUCAGCUGAUUUCCCCCAACAUUUCUCUCCAAACAGCUUUAAAAUAAUGCCUCAAGUCAAAUUUUGGAGUGGCAGAGCCAACUAAAGAGCAGCAUGAGGCAUUUUUCCAGCCUACAGAAACAUAGUAGGUCUGCAGAAGUUUAUGACACUGGGGUCAAGGUCUGUACAGAGUCCACAAAUACGGCAGCAGCAAUAGCAGUCACAGGAGCACCUCAAGAGUUCUCCAAUCCGAGACAGUGAAGAGGGAAGACCAAGAUACAACUUGGAAGAAGGCACUGUGAAAACAGCUUGGAUUCAAGCCCAAUGAGAAUUCCAAGAAGAGUUAAAGAGAAAACAGCUACACGCAAAGAAAAAGUGUUAAUUGUAUCCAGGCCCAAGAACAAUGAUUAGAAGAGUUAAAGAGGAGAGUGAUAGAGGAAAAAUUGUGAAAAGAAAUGAGAAUGAGGCAAGAAAAUUAUGAAAAGAGAAUUAACAGCUUGCUAAAAGAGGCACCCCAAAUACUAAAGUAAAUAAUAUCUUAAGAAGGCAAUUCUUCUUAUUCACUGAAGAAAAUAACUCCUUAAACAUUAAAAUUGGGUGAGUGGAAGUUAUGACUUCAUGAGACAUCAAGAAACAACAACAACAACAAAAAAAAAAAAGUUAAAAGAGUCUGUGAGGCACUAUGAGAGAAUUGAGAAGUUUUCAAAGGAGACCUCAGAGUUAACUGUCAAUUGAGAAAGUCUCUAAGUAACUUGGAGAGUAAAUUGUCAGUUUUGAGAAAGUCCGGAGAGACAUUUUGAGAGAAUUGAGUUUAAUUCUUAUUUUGUGGAGAAGACAUCUGGGGAAAAAUCCCAAGAGACUUUAACUGCCAUUCUAAGAGAAUGUAAUUGUUAGUUUGUGGUUCCCCGAGGUUUUGGAGAAUCAGCAGAAGUAACUCUGUUUUGUCACCUUUCUCAUAGCUGAUACAUUGUUGAAAUAUUUAUCUAUAGUUCUUAAUUAUUGGUUACUGUUAAUAAAUUAUAUGACUAGGAACACGGA
Long non-coding RNA from Antechinus flavipes (yellow-footed antechinus), 1612 nucleotides. RefSeq lists it as uncharacterized. The record is from RefSeq and is a predicted model, not a curated record. The transcript is spliced from 2 exons. NCBI's taxonomy places the organism in Eukaryota, Metazoa, Chordata, Mammalia, Dasyuromorphia, Dasyuridae.